This 253-nucleotide ribosomal RNA is filed under the name uncultured bacterium. Its description in RNAcentral is "partial 16S ribosomal RNA". It matches the Rfam family "Bacterial small subunit ribosomal RNA", at positions 524 to 776 of the family's 1533-position model. The record is from RNAcentral.
UACGGGGGGGGCAAGCGUUGCUCGGAAUCACUGGGCGUAAAGGGUGCGUAGGCGGGUUUUUAAGUCAGGGGUGAAAUCCUGGAGCUCAACUCCAGAACUGCCUUUGAUACUGAAGAUCUUGAGUCCGGUAGAGGUGAGUGGAACUGCGAGUGUAGAGGUGAAAUUCGUAGAUAUUCGCAAGAACACCAGUGGCGAAGGCGGCUCACUGGCCCGGUACUGACGCUGAGGCACGAAAGCGUGGGGAGCAAACAGG